Molecule: long non-coding RNA, 726 nt
Organism: Cyclopterus lumpus (lumpfish)
Lineage: Eukaryota; Metazoa; Chordata; Actinopteri; Perciformes; Cyclopteridae
Exons: 3
Source: RefSeq, a predicted model, not a curated record
UUCCAUAGUAAAAAUUAGCUCCUCCCCCACACGGCAGAACAGAUGACGUCACAGUUACCGUAGCGGAGGUGCACGUGCCUCUCCCCCCAGGGACCACGGGAGUUCGCUCCGCUGGGACCAAUAGAGAGGGUCUGGGUGUGCGGGGGUUCUCCCCCAGAUUUUUACGGACGUAACACACCAACGGACCCCCGCCGCAUUUUAGAUGCUGACAAAGAAUCAGGUCACGUACGGCCACAGACGACGAGAUCCUGAAACAUGCCAUUAGCACCGAAAUCCUGGUCCACUCAUUUGUCACAUCCCGCAUCGACUAUUGCAAUGCCCUCCUCACCGGACUCCCCACCAAACUCAUCAACAGACUGCAAAUCAUUCAGAACUCGGCCGCCCGGAUCAUCACCUGUACCAAAUCAUCGGACCACAUCACUCCUGUACUCAUCCAACUUCACUGGCUCCCUGUACAAUACCGCAUCGACUACAAAAACCUUCUCCUCACCUAUAAAGCUCUCCACAAUCUAGCCCAUACUUACCUCUACGACCUCCUUCAGGAACCCUCCCACACCCUCCGCUCAUCCUCUUCUGGACUGCUAACCAUCCCCACGUCACGCCUCAGUACCAUGGGUGCCCGAGCCUUCAGCUGCUCAGCACCCAGGCUCUGGAACUCCCUCCCCCCACACAUAAGACAAUCAGACUCCAUCACAUCAUUCAAGUCUCAACUCAAAACUCACCUGU